This 460-nucleotide ribosomal RNA is filed under the name uncultured bacterium. RNAcentral describes it as "partial 16S ribosomal RNA". It matches the Rfam family "Bacterial small subunit ribosomal RNA", at positions 338 to 795 of the family's 1533-position model. The record is from RNAcentral.
CCUACGGGGGGCAGCAGUGAGGAAUAUUGGUCAAUGGACGAGAGUCUGAACCAGCCAAGUAGCGUGAAGGAUGACUGCCCUAUGGGUUGUAAACUGCUUUUAUAAAGGAAUAAAACGAGGCACGUGUGCCUUUUUGCAUGUACUUUAUGAAUAAGGAUCGGCUAACUCCGUGCCAGCAGCCGCGGUAAUACGGAGGAUCCGAGCGUUAUCCGGAUUUAUUGGGUUUAAAGGGAGCGUAGAUGGGUUGUUAAGUCAGUUGUGAAAUUUUGCGGCUCAACCGUAAAAUUGCAAUUGAUACUGGCAGGCUAGAGUACAGUUGAGGUAGGCGGAAUUCGUGGUGUAGCGGUGAAAUGCUUAGAUAUCACGAAGAACCCCGAUUGCGAAGGCAGCUUACUAAACUGUGACUGACAUUGAUGCUCGAAAGUGUGGGUAUCAAACAGGAUUAGAUACCCCGGUAGUC